This is a long non-coding RNA of Xenia sp. Carnegie-2017, 429 nucleotides long. RefSeq lists it as uncharacterized. The transcript is spliced from 2 exons. NCBI's taxonomy places the organism in Eukaryota, Metazoa, Cnidaria, Anthozoa, Malacalcyonacea, Xeniidae. The record is from RefSeq and is a predicted model, not a curated record.
CAAUGAAUGUUGGGUAAUGUUAAAACGUGAGCAAGUAUGUCUUUGGCCUGCAGCAUUCUGUGGCUGGUCUGUGAUUGAAAUGGCUGUUUUCUUUUGGCAGAAACAGAAGAUCCACAAAGAUUAAACAAGGAUGUUUUCAAAUAUGCUGUUUUAAAGCAUUAUGUAGCAUGGAAAAAGAAAUAACUGGAUUGUCAACAAAACAUCAAGUAAAAUACUUCAAACUUCAGGAACAGAUCAAGAGUUGAUACUUCAUUACAUUACUUGUUACAAUUACAAACAGUCCUAUUUUAAAGUUUUUACAAUGUCAUUAAUGUCACAUAGUACAGGAGAUUGGUCAUAUUGUAAACAGUCGCCGAACACAGUGUAAUGGGUUUGCGGUAUUCCACCAAAGGUUAGAGUUCCUGAAGUAAAAUUAUUUCGAUUGAUUGA